RNAcentral lists this microRNA precursor (83 nucleotides) under Dictyocaulus viviparus (bovine lungworm). Its description in RNAcentral is "mir-228 microRNA precursor family". It matches the Rfam family "mir-228 microRNA precursor family". Lineage: Eukaryota; Metazoa; Nematoda; Chromadorea; Rhabditida; Metastrongylidae. The record is from Rfam by way of RNAcentral.
CGAGGUCCCGCAAUGGCACUGCAUGAAUUCACGGUUAUUAUUCAGGGCCGUGCAUCCAGUAGUUCCAUACCGGGCUAGGCUAG